This 427-nucleotide ribosomal RNA is filed under the name Microvirga ossetica. RNAcentral describes it as "partial 16S ribosomal RNA". It matches the Rfam family "Bacterial small subunit ribosomal RNA", at positions 355 to 774 of the family's 1533-position model. Lineage: Bacteria; Pseudomonadati; Pseudomonadota; Alphaproteobacteria; Hyphomicrobiales; Methylobacteriaceae. RNAcentral also lists the same sequence under 1 other name. The record is from RNAcentral.
UGGGGAAUUUUGGACAAUGGGCGCAAGCCUGAUCCAGCCAUGCCGCGUGAGUGAAGAAGGCCUUCGGGUUGUAAAGCUCUUUCGGUUGGGAAGAAAUUGCCUGGGUUAAUACCUCAGGUAGAUGACGGUACCAGCAUAAGAAGCACCGGCUAACUACGUGCCAGCAGCCGCGGUAAUACGUAGGGUGCGAGCGUUAAUCGGAAUUACUGGGCGUAAAGCGUGCGCAGGCGGUUGUGUAAGUCAGAUGUGAAAUCCCCGGGCUCAACCUGGGAACUGCAUUUGAGACUGCACGGCUAGAGUGUGGCAGAGGGGGGUAGAAUUCCACGUGUAGCAGUGAAAUGCGUAGAGAUGUGGAGGAAUACCGAUGGCGAAGGCAGCCCCCUGGGCCAAUACUGACGCUCAUGCACGAAAGCGUGGGGAGCAAACA